This 524-nucleotide ribosomal RNA is filed under the name Salmonella enterica. RNAcentral describes it as "partial 23S ribosomal RNA". It matches the Rfam family "Bacterial large subunit ribosomal RNA", at positions 1211 to 1735 of the family's 2925-position model. Lineage: Bacteria; Pseudomonadati; Pseudomonadota; Gammaproteobacteria; Enterobacterales; Enterobacteriaceae. RNAcentral also lists the same sequence under 3 other names. The record is from RNAcentral.
ACUCAGGUGUUGUUGGGUAGGGGAGCGUUCUGUAAGCCUGUGAAGGUGGCCUGUGAGGGUUGCUGGAGGUAUCAGAAGUGCGAAUGCUGACAUAAGUAACGAUAAAGCGGGUGAAAAGCCCGCUCGCCGGAAGACCAAGGGUUCCUGUCCAACGUUAAUCGGGGCAGGGUGAGUCGACCCCUAAGGCGAGGCCGAAAGGCGUAGUCGAUGGGAAACGGGUUAAUAUUCCCGUACUUGGUGUUACUGCGAAGGGGGGACGGAGAAGGCUAUGUUGGCCGGGCGACGGUUGUCCCGGUUUAAGCGUGUAGGUGUGUGUUCCAGGUAAAUCCGGUUCACUUUAACACUGAGGCGUGACGACGAGGCACUACGGUGCUGAAGCAACAAAUGCCCUGCUUCCAGGAAAAGCCUCUAAGCAUCAGGUAACAUCAAAUCGUACCCCAAACCGACACAGGUGGUCAGGUAGAGAAUACCAAGGCGCUUGAGAGAACUCGGGUGAAGGAACUAGGCAAAAUGGUGCCGUAACU